Molecule: long non-coding RNA, 1019 nt
Organism: Patiria miniata (bat star)
Lineage: Eukaryota; Metazoa; Echinodermata; Asteroidea; Valvatida; Asterinidae
Exons: 3
Source: RefSeq, a predicted model, not a curated record
UAUAUGCAGGUAACUUCGGACUGGUCCACUAAACUCUUUGGAUGUAUGGAGGACGAACACACGUGUUUACUGGGCGCGCUGUGCACACCGUGUUUGGCCUGUUCACUGGCCCGUCAGCUCGGGGAGUCCUGUUGUGUCGUGGCCUGUGUUCCGGGAGGAGUCUUUGCGCUGAGAACAAAGCUUCGGAUGCAGCAAAACAUUGAGGGUUCAAUCUGCGAUGACUGCCUAACACUGAGCUGCUGUUGCCCAUUUGCCCUGUGCCAAAAGGCCCGAGAGCUGGACAACGCAGAAAUUGGACGAUUAUAGGAUGAACUGAAACCAGUACGGCCACCUCGAGGGUCAACAGGCUGAACACAAUGUGCAUGACUUGGGCCAAAACUGAACCCAAACAACUCCACCACAUUCUGAAAUGAUUUCUGAAAAUAACACGCAGCACGGCAACAGCAAAGUCAUACAUCCAACAGAUAGUGUUUUACAAGAAGAUGAUAUAAUUUCAGAUAUGUCAAACUAAUACUAUGCAAAGACUACAUCAGUACUGUAGAACAAUUCAGUCUGGUCAAAUUUUUAUUAGAAAUGAUAAAAUUAUUUUCCAAAUUCCACAAAACAAAAUCGAUAAAAGCUGUAAGGUGUCAAAGGAAAACACUAUGCCCUUUAUAGACAAAAUAUCAAAUCAGCUUUGAAAAUGAGGGGUUUGUGAUAUUUUGUGUUGAGGAUAACAAAGACAUGAAGAAGAAGAAAUAUCAACCAACGUACCCUCUGCAUGCUUGGCUGCCAAUUUGAAAUUUGUCUGUCGUACAGAGCACUCGAUGAGAUAUUUUUUAAGCUUUCACUGAUGCAAAUACAAACCUUAAAUUCGUUUGUUCAGCCCUGAAGACCUUUAGUGAAUAAUGGAAUUUCAAAUAAAGCAUGUUUUCUGAAAGUCGGGAGUUUUCCAUCAAAUGGAUUGAUGCAAUCUGUGUUAUAUAUAUGUUCAUAUUUCCCGACACAAAUUAUGUACAUAGUCCAGUGAGCAAUUUUAU